RNAcentral lists this transfer RNA (82 nucleotides) under Neisseriaceae bacterium. RNAcentral describes it as "tRNA-Leu". It matches the Rfam family "tRNA". From Rfam's summary of the family: Transfer RNA (tRNA) molecules are approximately 80 nucleotides in length. The record is from RNAcentral. Lineage: Bacteria; Pseudomonadati; Pseudomonadota; Betaproteobacteria; Neisseriales; Neisseriaceae.
GUCCAAGUGGUGAAAUUGGUAGACACGUAUCGUUUAGGCCGAUAUGCCGCAAGGCGUGCAGGUUCGAGUCCUGUCUUGGACA